UACGUAGGGGGCAAGCGUUGUUCGGAAUUACUGGGCGUAAAGGGCUCGUAGGCGGCCAACUAAGUCGGACGUGAAAGCCCCCGGCUCAACUGGGGAGGGUCACGCGAUACUGAUCGACUCGAAGGCAGGAGAGGGUAGUGGAAUUCCCGGUGUAGUGGUGAAAUGCGUAGAUAUCGGGAGGAACACCAGUGGCGAAGGCGACUACCUGGCCUGUUCUUGACGCUGAGGCGCGAAAGCUAGGGGAGCAAACGGG
RNAcentral lists this ribosomal RNA (253 nucleotides) under uncultured bacterium. Its description in RNAcentral is "partial 16S ribosomal RNA". It matches the Rfam family "Bacterial small subunit ribosomal RNA", at positions 524 to 776 of the family's 1533-position model. The record is from RNAcentral.